Camelus dromedarius (Arabian camel) is the source of this 107-nucleotide small nuclear RNA. NCBI's taxonomy places the organism in Eukaryota, Metazoa, Chordata, Mammalia, Artiodactyla, Camelidae. The record is from Ensembl.
GUGCUGGCUUCGGCGGCUGCACACAUGCUAAAAUUGGAGCAAUACAGAGGUUAGCAUGGCCCCUGCACAAGGAUGACAUGCAAAUUUGUGAAGUGUUCCGUAUUUUU